This 253-nucleotide ribosomal RNA is filed under the name uncultured bacterium. RNAcentral's name for it is "partial 16S ribosomal RNA". It matches the Rfam family "Bacterial small subunit ribosomal RNA", at positions 524 to 776 of the family's 1533-position model. The record is from RNAcentral.
UACGUAGGUGGCAAGCGUUGUCCGGAUUUACUGGGCGUAAAGGAUGCGUAGGCGGACAUUUAAGUCAGAUGUGAAAUACCCGAGCUUAACUUGGGUGCUGCAUUUGAAACUGGGUGUCUAGAGUGCAGGAGAGGUAAGUGGAAUUCCUAGUGUAGCGGUGAAAUGCGUAGAGAUCGGCAGGAACACCCAGGGGGAAACCAGCUGCCUGGGCAAGCGCUGACGCUGAGGUGCGAGAGCGUGGGGAGCGAACCGG